UAUUUUAAAGAGAGUUUGAUCCUGGCUCAGGACGAACGCUGGCGGCGUGCCUAAUACAUGCAAGUCGAACGAACGGAGGAAGAGCUUGCUCUUCCAAAGUUAGUGGCGGACGGGUGAGUAACACGUGGGCAACCUGCCUGUAAGUUGGGGAUAACUCCGGGAAACCGGGGCUAAUACCGAAUGAUAAAGUGUGGCGCAUGCCACGCUUUUGAAGGAUGGUUUCGG
Molecule: ribosomal RNA, 225 nt
Filed under: Listeria monocytogenes
Lineage: Bacteria; Bacillati; Bacillota; Bacilli; Caryophanales; Listeriaceae
Description: partial 16S ribosomal RNA
Rfam family: Bacterial small subunit ribosomal RNA
Source: RNAcentral